GCCGGGAUAAUACUAGUUGGAUAAUCAACUGCAUCCCGAAGGUGUAAUGGUAGCAUUGAAGCCUGUGGAGCUUUAGGCCGGGGUUCGAAUCCCUGUCCCGGCACCA
This 106-nucleotide transfer RNA is filed under the name Candidatus Hermodarchaeota archaeon. RNAcentral's name for it is "tRNA-His". The stretch from base 38 to 97 matches the Rfam family "tRNA", at positions 6 to 65 of the family's 71-position model. Rfam says of the family: Transfer RNA (tRNA) molecules are approximately 80 nucleotides in length. Their secondary structure includes four short double-helical elements and three loops (D, anti-codon, and T loops). The record is from RNAcentral. Lineage: Archaea; Promethearchaeati; Candidatus Hermodarchaeota.